UGAGGAAUCUUGCGCAAUGGGGGCAACCCUGACGCAGCCACGCCGCGUGCCGGAAGACGGCCCUAUGGGUUGUAAACGGCUUUUACCAGGGAAGAACCUUUGGGUUUCGACCCGAACUGACGGUACCUGGUGAAUAAGCACCGGCUAGCUCCGUGCCAGCAGCCGCGGUAAUACGGAGGGUGCAAGCGUUGUCCGGAAUCAUUGGGUGUAAAGGGUGCGUAGGCGGAAGCCUAAGUCGGGGGUGAAAUCUUGCCGCUCAACGGUAAAAUGGCCUUCGAUACUGGGUUUCUUGAGUCCGGAAGAGGUUGGUGGAAUUCGUGGUGUAGCGGUGAAAUGCAUAGAUAUCACGAAGAACACCGGUGGCGAAGGCGGCCAACUGGUCCGGCACUAACGCUGAGGCACGAGAGCGUGGGGAGCGAACAGGAUUAGAUACCCUGGUAGUCCACGCUGUAAACGAUGUAUGCUAGUUGUUGGCCCUCCCGGGUCAGUGACGCAGUUAACGCAGUAAGCAUACCACCUGGGGAGUACGUUCGCAAGAAUG
This 541-nucleotide ribosomal RNA is filed under the name uncultured bacterium. RNAcentral's name for it is "bacterial SSU rRNA". It matches the Rfam family "Bacterial small subunit ribosomal RNA", at positions 355 to 896 of the family's 1533-position model. The record is from RNAcentral.